This 851-nucleotide long non-coding RNA is filed under the name Lepidothrix coronata (blue-crowned manakin). RNAcentral describes it as "lncRNA (ENSLCOG00000002228.1)". The record is from RNAcentral. Lineage: Eukaryota; Metazoa; Chordata; Aves; Passeriformes; Pipridae.
UAUAUAAAUCAGUUAAAUAUUAACUUGCUUUUGGGCACUGCAUUUGCUUUAGCUCAGGAAAACUUCUUGAGCUGAGCAGAUAACUUCGGGUCUCUCCAUAAAUAGCAGAAAUCACUCUUAAAAAAAGGGGAAAAAGGUAGCAUUUUGAAGCUUUAGGUAUUAAAAAAAAACACCUGGCUUUUUCUGGGUUUGUUCUUAUUUUGUGGUUUUUUUUUUUAACCUCUGCUCUUGUCCCCCCUGGCAGGGAAUUCUCCGACCUCGUUGAAGUUUCGGCGCAGAUCAACCAUCGGCUUACGGGGCUCCCCGGAGAACAACUCCCUGAUCAGGUACCUGGCCCAGCAGAGGAGCAAGAGGCAAAAAGAAGCUUUUACACAGAUCAGUCCUUUUAAACAUGUGAAUGUCAGGUCGUUGAAGGACAAGAUUGAAACCUUUCAAACAUCUUUUGAAUCCCUCCAAGAAGCUGAAGGGGAAACUGGGCUCUCUGGGCUGUCCCACGGGGAUGAUUCUCAGGAAGGAGGCUCUUCUCAGAACAAAGUGCCUUUUAAAAAGGAGCCAAACCUGGAGCAGUGGAGUGAAAAGUUCCUGUUGGACAACAGUGGAGCUGAUUUGAAAGAGAAUUUUUGCAGGGAAAAUGUGACCAGGAGCAGUAAAUGUGACCUCAGGAUCUGCAGCAUCUUGUCUCCAAACCCAGCUGUGACUGAACCUGCUGCUCCAAAGGUACUCAGAAUUAAGAGGAAACUUCUAAUUUAGUGAUUAAAAUAUCUUUUUCGUGCCUUAUGUUUUCAUUUGUGCUGUCUAAUCCUUUUAAACAUUUAGUUUUGGGGAAAAUAAAUCCAACUAAAGAGAAAACA